RNAcentral lists this long non-coding RNA (380 nucleotides) under Gallus gallus (chicken). The record is from RNAcentral. Lineage: Eukaryota; Metazoa; Chordata; Aves; Galliformes; Phasianidae.
CUACAUAGAGCAGCUUUGGACAUUUGUCCUGUGCUUGCUAAAAGAAAUCAUCAGGAGAAAGUUCAAAAACAAGAAGUACUACUUUACAGAGAUAUGUGACAGAGGCCCCAUGCAACGUACUACCACAGGACCUUUUAAAGUUCAAGACGGACCAAAGGUUCAAGAAGCGAUCAAACAAAAUAAUAGAAGAAAUGUGCCUUAAGAGCUGUUAGUUGUAGAAGGGCACGAAUAUAUCCCACCACAGAGAACACCCUGAAAGUGCAGAUUGGAAUAAUCAGAGAAGGCUAUAAUUUGGCUGGUGCUGUUGUAUGUUUGUCCCAUUUCUUGUUUUCCUUCACUAAGUCCUUGCUGUCAGCCAGUUAGACAUGGGAAAGAGAAGG